Molecule: long non-coding RNA, 525 nt
Filed under: Mus spretus (western wild mouse)
Lineage: Eukaryota; Metazoa; Chordata; Mammalia; Rodentia; Muridae
Description: lncRNA (ENSMSPG00010047730.1)
Source: RNAcentral
UUCCAGGGAACUUAUGCCCACUGCAAGAGAGGCUGACAAGGCUCCAUAUGGGUUCUACCACUCUCUGGGGUUUCUACUUUCUGGGGGUACAGAAAAUAGAAACAUGACUCAGAGUUCCUGCCUCAUGGAGUCUGGGAGCUUUCCUCCUCAUUGGAUCUGGGAGCUUCCAGGAACACAUCAAGGAAGAAGGAGAAAGCAAGCUGUUCUGCGGCACCAGAACAUAUGAAAAGGAAGCGCAGUUUUCCACACACAGUCGCUUCCCGUCUCAGACCCCAUGACUGCAGAGUUUCAGAAAGUAAACACUGUAGAUCCAAGCAGAGUGCCAGAUGGUGGGCUGAAGUAGAACCAGCUCACAGAGACUGGAACACACAGGGCUGGGAGCUCCUUGCUCUCUUCGUCUGCUUCCACCUAUUCAGAUGUCUCCAGGGUUCAGGAAUAGAAGCUUUCACUGAAGAGACAUCAGGCAUCUAAGGAUCGCUUGACACAGUGGAAUACCAGGCACACAGUGGGAAGCUUCUCCCAGUG